GACGAACGCUGGCGGCGUGCCUAAUACAUGCAAGUAGAACGCACAGUUUAUACCGUAGCUUGCUACACCAUAAACUGUGAGUUGCGAACGGGUGAGUAACGCGUAGGUAACCUGCCUGGUAGCGGGGGAUAACUAUUGGAAACGAUAGCUAAUACCGCAUAAUAUUAAUUAUUGCAUGAUAAUUGAUUGAAAGAUGCAAUUGCAUCACUACCAGAUGGACCUGCGUUGUAUUAGCUAGUAGGUGAGGUAACGGCUCACCUAGGCGACGAUACAUAGCCGACCUGAGAGUGUGCUCGGCCACACUGGGACUGAGACACGGCCCAGACUCCUACGGGAGGCAGCAGUAGGGAAUCUUCGGCAAUGGACGAAAGUCUGACCGAGCAACGCCGCGUGAGUGAAGAAGGUUUUCGGAUCGUAAAGCUCUGUUGUAAGAGAAGAACGGGUGUGAGAGUGGAAAGUUCACACUGUGACGGUAUCUUACCAGAAAGGGACGGCUAACUACGUG
RNAcentral lists this ribosomal RNA (505 nucleotides) under uncultured bacterium. Its description in RNAcentral is "partial 16S ribosomal RNA". It matches the Rfam family "Bacterial small subunit ribosomal RNA", at positions 28 to 507 of the family's 1533-position model. The record is from RNAcentral.